This 193-nucleotide small nuclear RNA is filed under the name Xenopus tropicalis (tropical clawed frog). Its description in RNAcentral is "U2 spliceosomal RNA (ENSXETG00000049266.1)". It matches the Rfam family "U2 spliceosomal RNA". From Rfam's summary of the family: U2 is a small nuclear RNA (snRNA) component of the spliceosome (involved in pre-mRNA splicing). Complementary binding between U2 snRNA (in an area lying towards the 5' end but 3' to hairpin I) and the branchpoint sequence (BPS) of the intron results the bulging out of an unpaired adenosine, on the BPS, which initiates a nucleophilic attack at the intronic 5' splice site, thus starting the first of two transesterification reactions that mediate splicing. The record is from Rfam by way of RNAcentral. Lineage: Eukaryota; Metazoa; Chordata; Amphibia; Anura; Pipidae.
AUCGCUUCUUCGGCCUUUUGGCUAAGAUCAAGUGUAGUAUCUGUUCUUAUCAGUUUAAUAUCUGAUACGUCCCCUAUCUGGGGACCAUAUAUUAAAUGGAUUUUUGGAACAGGGAGAUGGAAGAAGAGCUUGCUCUGUCCACUCCACGCAUCGACCUGGUAUUGCAGUAACCUCCAGGACCGGUGCACCUCUC